Molecule: ribosomal RNA, 424 nt
Filed under: uncultured Chitinophagaceae bacterium
Lineage: Bacteria; Pseudomonadati; Bacteroidota; Chitinophagia; Chitinophagales; Chitinophagaceae
Description: bacterial SSU rRNA
Rfam family: Bacterial small subunit ribosomal RNA
Source: RNAcentral
UAAGGAAUAUUGGUCAAUGGACGGAAGUCUGAACCAGCCAUGCCGCGUGGAGGAUGAAGGUCCUCUGGAUUGUAAACUUCUUUUAUCGGGGGCGAAAAAGGGCCAUUCUUGGUCAACUGACGGUACCCGAUGAAUAAGCACCGGCUAACUCCGUGCCAGCAGCCGCGGUAAUACGGAGGGUGCAAGCGUUAUCCGGAUUCACUGGGUUUAAAGGGAGCGUAGGCGGGCGCAUAAGUCAGUGGUGAAAGCCCUCAGCUUAACUGAGGAAUUGCCGUUGAUACUAUGCGUCUUGAAUGUCGUUGAGGUUUGCGGAAUAGGUCAUGUAGCGGUGAAAUGCAUAGAUAUGACCUGGAACACCUAUUGCGAAGGCAGCAGGCUAAACGAAUAUUGACGCUGAGGCUCGAAAGCGUGGGGAUCAAACAGG